Molecule: ribosomal RNA, 254 nt
Filed under: uncultured bacterium
Lineage: Bacteria
Description: partial 16S ribosomal RNA
Rfam family: Bacterial small subunit ribosomal RNA
Source: RNAcentral
UACGAAGGGGGCUAGCGUUGCUCGGAAUCACUGGGCGUAAAGGGUGCGUAGGCGGGUCUUUAAGUCAGGGGUGAAAUCCUGGAGCUCAACUCCAGAACUGCCUUUGAUACUGAAGAUCUUGAGUUCGGGAGAGGUGAGUGGAACUGCGAGUGUAGAGGUGAAAUUCGUAGAUAUUCGCAAGAACACCAGUGGCGAAGGCGGCUCACUGGCCCGAUACUGACGCUGAGGUGCGAAAGCGUGGGGAGCAAACAGGG